RNAcentral lists this ribosomal RNA (255 nucleotides) under Proteus mirabilis. RNAcentral's name for it is "partial 23S ribosomal RNA". It matches the Rfam family "Bacterial large subunit ribosomal RNA", at positions 1645 to 1883 of the family's 2925-position model. Lineage: Bacteria; Pseudomonadati; Pseudomonadota; Gammaproteobacteria; Enterobacterales; Morganellaceae. The record is from RNAcentral.
UACCCCAAACCGACACAGGUGGUCAGGUAGAGAAUACUCAGGCGCUUGAGAGAACUCGGGUGAAGGAACUAGGCAAAAUGGUGCCGUAACUUCGGGAGAAGGCACGCUGGCGGUAGGUAAAGUCCCUUGCGGACGGCGCUGAAGCCAGUCGAAGAUACCAGCUGGCUGCAACUGUUUAUUAAAAACACAGCACUGUGCAAACACGAAAGUGGACGUAUACGGUGUGACGCCUGCCCGGUGCUGGAAGGUUAAUUG